AAGACGAUUGUGACAAAGCGAAGAUUAACGCUCAUUCCAUCGAUUGCAUUGUCGGCACGGACGUCGUCUUUUCGACACGAUUUGUUUUGCCCAUGCUGGAAACAAUGAAAU
This 111-nucleotide non-coding RNA is filed under the name Pseudo-nitzschia pungens. Lineage: Eukaryota; Bacillariophyta; Bacillariophyceae; Bacillariales; Bacillariaceae. The record is from RNAcentral.